UAGGGAAUAUUAGAAAUGGACGAAAGUCUGAUCUAGCAACACCGCGUGUGCGAAGAAGGCCUUCGGGUCGUAAAGCACUUUUUGGAAGGAAUAGGAAGGAACGUACUUCCAGAAUAAGUCUCGGCUAACUACGUGCCAGCAGCCGCGGUAACACGUAGGAGGCAAACGUUAUCCGGAUUUACUGGGCGUAAAGCGCGUGUAGGUGGUUCUGUAAGUAGGGCGUGAAAGCUCCCGGAUCAACUGGGAGAGGCCGUUCUAAACUGCAGAACUAGAGGAUGGUAGAGGGAGGUGGAAUUUCAGGUGUAGCGGUGGAAUGCGCAGAUAUCUGAAGGAGCACCAGUGGCGAAAGCGGCCUCCUGAACCAUUCCUGACACUCAGACGCGAAAGCUAGGGUAGCAAACG
RNAcentral lists this ribosomal RNA (402 nucleotides) under uncultured prokaryote. RNAcentral's name for it is "bacterial SSU rRNA". It matches the Rfam family "Bacterial small subunit ribosomal RNA", at positions 355 to 774 of the family's 1533-position model. The record is from RNAcentral.